Neoarius graeffei (lesser salmon catfish) is the source of this 614-nucleotide long non-coding RNA. RefSeq lists it as uncharacterized. The transcript is spliced from 3 exons. Lineage: Eukaryota; Metazoa; Chordata; Actinopteri; Siluriformes; Ariidae. The record is from RefSeq and is a predicted model, not a curated record.
AUGUUUGCAUUCACACGAUUCUGUAAACAUCGUGAUCAUCAUCCUUAUCAUCAUCAUCAUCAUCAUCACCAUCAGCAGUCAUGAUCUUCCCUUUUCUCCUGCUGGGUGUUGCCUGCCUGCAGUCAUUCACAGUGGCCAACAAUGUAGAUGGAGUAGAAGAAUGCUGUUUCAUAUUUGCCAAGGUUGUAAUCCCUGUGAGAGUCAUUCAAGACUACAGGGAAACAAGGAUUGACUGUACACAUCGUGGAGUCAUUUUUUCCUUAUUUAAUGGUCGCAGGGUGUGUGGCAACCCCAGUCUGGACUGGGUGCAACGAAGAAUGAAGAAAAUUGACCAACGGCAGUUUGAAAAUUCAACUGCACCAGUGAAUAAAUCUUAAUUAUAUUUUCUGCAAUGCGCCUUUCAUCCAUCUAUAGUUUGUUGCUUUGCACAGAGGUAUAAAUAUCAUCUUUGAACAUAAACAUUUGCUUUAAUGAUUUUGGCACUAUAUCACUGAUUUGAAAUGCAGGCUGUUGGCAUGAAUUCAUUUUAUUUGUUGCAUUAAUUCAUUAAAGUACAUUUGUAUUCCUCAUUAUCAUAUUUUUUCUGUUAAAUAAACUCACAUUUGAAAAGGAAA